RNAcentral lists this ribosomal RNA (723 nucleotides) under Cippumomyces mortalis. RNAcentral describes it as "partial large subunit ribosomal RNA". It matches the Rfam family "Eukaryotic large subunit ribosomal RNA", at positions 71 to 824 of the family's 3401-position model. Lineage: Eukaryota; Fungi; Ascomycota; Dothideomycetes; Capnodiales; Neoantennariellaceae. The record is from RNAcentral.
GGGAUUGCCCUAGUAACGGCGAGUGAAGCGGCAACAGCUCAAAUUUGAAAUCUGGCGCUUUCAGCGUCCGAGUUGUAAUUUGUAGAGGAUGCUUCUGGGUAGCCACCGGUCUAAGUUCCUUGGAACAGGACGUCAUAGAGGGUGAGAAUCCCGUAUGCGACCGGCCGGCACCCUCCACGUAGCUCCUUCGACGAGUCGAGUUGUUUGGGAAUGCAGCUCUAAAUGGGAGGUAAAUUUCUUCUAAAGCUAAAUAUUGGCCAGAGACCGAUAGCGCACAAGUAGAGUGAUCGAAAGAUGAAAAGCACUUUGGAAAGAGAGUUAAAAAGCACGUGAAAUUGUUGAAAGGGAAGCGCUUGCAACCAGACUUGUCUGCGGUGUUCCGCCGGUCUUCUGACCGGUCUACUCAUCGUAUGCAGGCCAGCAUCAUUUGGGACCGCUGGAUAAAACCUUAGGAAUGUGGCUCCUCGGAGUGUUAUAGCCUGAGUUAAUGCAGUGAGUCCCGAGUGAGGUCCGCGCUUCGGCUAGGAUGCUGGCGUAAUGGUUGUAAGCGGCCCGUCUUGAAACACGGACCAAGGAGUCUAACAUCUAUGCGAGUGUUCGGGUGUCAAACCCCUACGCGUAAUGAAAGUGAACGGAGGUGGGAACCGCAAGGUGCACCAUCGACCGAUCCUGAUGUCUUCGGAUGGAUUUGAGUAAGAGCAUAGCUGUUGGGACCCGAAAGAU